Molecule: ribosomal RNA, 867 nt
Filed under: bacterium W13M62b_B
Lineage: Bacteria
Description: bacterial SSU rRNA
Rfam family: Bacterial small subunit ribosomal RNA
Source: RNAcentral
GGUAGCUUGCUAUGCUGACGACCGGCGCACGGGUGCGUAACGCGUAUAGAACCUACCUUAUAGUAAGGGAUAGCCCAGAGAAAUUUGGAUUAAUACCUUAUAGUAUUAUUGAAUGGCAUCGUUUAAUAAUUAAAGAUUUAUUGCUAUAAGAUGGCUAUGCGUUCUAUUAGCUAGUUGGUAUGGUAACGGCAUACCAAGGCUACGAUAGAUAGGGGUCCUGAGAGGGAGAUCCCCCACACUGGUACUGAGACACGGACCAGACUCCUACGGGAGGCAGCAGUGAGGAAUAUUGGACAAUGGAGGCAACUCUGAUCCAGCCAUGCCGCGUGUAGGAAGACUGCCCUAUGGGUUGUAAACUACUUUUAUAGAGGAAGAAACGACACUACGUGUAGUGUUUUGACGGUACUCUACGAAUAAGGAUCGGCUAACUCCGUGCCAGCAGCCGCGGUAAUACGGAGGAUCCAAGCGUUAUCCGGAAUCAUUGGGUUUAAAGGGUCCGUAGGCGGGUUUGUAAGUCAGUGGUGAAAGUUUUCGGCUCAACCGGAAAAUUGCCAUUGAUACUGCAAGUCUUGAAUCAUUGUGAAGUGGUUAGAAUGUGUAGUGUAGCGGUGAAAUGCAUAGAUAUUACACAGAAUACCGAUUGCGAAGGCAGAUCACUAACAAUGUAUUGACGCUAAGGGACGAAAGCGUGGGUAGCGAACAGGAUUAGAUACCCUGGUAGUCCACGCCGUAAACGAUGGUUACUAGCUGUUUGGACUUCGGUCUAAGUGGCUAAGCGAAAGUGAUAAGUAACCCACCUGGGGAGUACGUUCGCAAGAAUGAAACUCAAAGGAAUUGACGGGGGCCCGCACAAGCGGUGGAGCAUGU